CCGGGACGCGCCGGCGCCGCGCGGGACCCGGGGAGGCGCGCACCGCUCGCUUACCUGAUGAUGGAAGGGCUCUCUCCUGGGCCAGCGCCCGGACAGUUUCGGCCACCUCGGCCCCGGGGCAGAUCCACAAGGAGGUGACUGACGACCGAAGACGGGCCGGAGCCUCCACGGCUGCCCGGUGUCUCCGCCGCCGCGUGUGUAUUUUCUGCCUUUUGGACUUGAGAUGCAAAUAAAAAAAGGAGGGGGGCGCACAGCGGAGGGAAGCAGGCGGGAGCGCGGAGAGGAGCGCGAGAAAAAUAAAGGGGGGAGGUGAGGGUGAUGAAAUUGGGGGGUUGAGAUCUUCAGGGAUUACUCAUUUGAAAGAAAAAAAGGAGCGAGAGAGACGGGGGGGGGGGAAGCAGCCCCAAGACGUGCGAGUAGCAAUCUCUCCUCCAUUCAGCCAUUUGAAUGUCAAGGGCGAGGGUCAAGGGACCUGUUUCCAACAGGGUUUCACGUUCAGAACCAGAAGGAAAAAGGAAGGGGGGGCGGCGGGAGGGGGUAUCUCUUGUUGCCAAGGAGAAAUCGGUUUUGUUUUCGUUUCCCCUUAGCUACUGGGGGAGGAGGGGCGGGGGGGGGGAGAAGAGGAGGGGGCGAGCGGGAGAGGGGAGAGGAGAAAAUUAAUACCCAAACAGCCAAGAAGUACCGAGGGGGAGAUUUCUUCUCGUAAAUAAGAGGCAGCGAUUGCAAACAAGUCUCCGGCAGGAGAAAGCAGGCCGGAGAGCCGGCUCCCCUCCCCCUCUCGCCACCAACAACCCCCCACCUUUUUCUUUCUUUUCUCUCUCUCUCUCUCUCUUUUUUUUUUUUUUGGUUAUCUCCCCGGGCCGGCGUCCCACCACUGACUCAGAGAGCAGGGGUGGGGGAAGGAAGAGAAAGAACUCGCGGGGGCUCAGGCGCCCGGGCAGAAGGAGCAGGAGGAGAGCGGGGAGGCGAGAGCGCGCGGCGGUGGAGAGCCCCUCGAUCAAUUUUCAUGCAAGAAUCAUUAUCGGUAAAUUGGAAAGCUGGCUGCCUGACAGCAGAUUUGUCUCCCCUAAUGAAAGCGAAAGGGUAGGGGCGCAGCGGCGGGCGGCUGCAGGCGGCGGCGGCGGCGGCUCCUUCCGUCUCUACGCGGCAUCUUCCAAGAGCUGCAUGCUUUGCAGAGCGAUAAUAAUAGUUUCACUUGCGAGCUUCUCCCCGCGCGGCUGCCGAGCCGGGCAGCCGAUCCGUGCGGCCUGGGAUCCGGGCGCAAGACAGCCGGGCUCCCCUCUCCGAACGCGGGCAGGGUGCCGCGGCUGGCGGCGGGGCGCUCCGCUCUGCCCCAAAGCGGGGCCGUUUGCAAACAGUGGGCGGCCGCGGGCGCCGCCGGGCCCCCCUCGGCUGCCCAACUCCGCGCUCUGGCCGCCCGCCCGCCCUCCCCUCCCACGGCUGACAGCUGCGGGAGCCGGAGUUCACCCGCCGCCGGGGCCUAGGAGGAGAAUCCCCAAACCGUGUCCCCGGAGGCUCUGGCCAGCCUUUGGUGAACCCACGCGGGGCUGCGGAAACGCACACGCCGCCCAGCCCGGGGGGAGCUCCAAAGGCGAGCAGCUCCUUUCUCUCCUUUCUCUUCCUCGCGCCCCGCACCCCACCCUUAAAAAUCCGUGUUGUAAGUGUAAUCAAAUGCUUGAUACCAUCUUCCACACUCUCCCUGCACCGGUGCAUUAUCAGAUCCGGGAAGGCAUGCUUCCAGGCAAAUAGACCUAAUAAAUGCUAUUACUGGGAUUCUGCAAGCCGCGGCUGCACCAUAGUAACGAGCGUCCUGGCUAAUUUGGUUUAAGAGAACGAUCAACUGCA
Lontra canadensis (Northern American river otter) is the source of this 1845-nucleotide long non-coding RNA. RefSeq lists it as uncharacterized. NCBI's taxonomy places the organism in Eukaryota, Metazoa, Chordata, Mammalia, Carnivora, Mustelidae. The transcript has 2 exons. The record is from RefSeq and is a predicted model, not a curated record.